This 652-nucleotide long non-coding RNA is filed under the name Piliocolobus tephrosceles (Ugandan red Colobus). RNAcentral's name for it is "lncRNA (ENSPTEG00000025421.1)". The record is from RNAcentral. Lineage: Eukaryota; Metazoa; Chordata; Mammalia; Primates; Cercopithecidae.
AGAGUCCUGGUGGACCUGAGAUUUGGGGAAGAUGCAGACACACCGAACCCUAGUGUUGUUUACCUCUGGGGAUGCUAUUGGAGUAACAAAGAUUCGUUUGGUGGCCCAUUGAUCUGAAUUGCAAGAAACAGAAGCCAUAUUCAAAUAGAAUAUUAAAAAUUACCAAGAAAAAAUUUUAAUAUGGAAAUAAAAAUGAGUAAAGACACAUACAUUUUCCCAAGAAGAUAUGAUUUACAAGAAGAUAUGAUUUACAAGGUUCUUGGAGUCUGUGCUCUGCUUAGGCCUUCCCUGGCCUGUCCAGGAAUCGUGUCCAUUCUCAACUAUGAAUCCUGGAGAUUCCACCUCCUUCUAGUCUCCAGACAAUUCAACCCAGGACUGUUAUCAGACUCCAUGGACUCUCUGAGGAAAUGCUGCUUCAGAUGGAGGAGGAAGGACCUCUGGUGCCAGCUGGUUUUGCAGCUAUGACCUCUAAUCACGUGCUUAAAAUCCGUCUGUCAAAGAACAUGGGGUUGCAUUACAAACAUCAAAAACUAUUUGAGUAUCCGUCACAUACAAGGCCCUUGGGAAGAGUAAACGCACAGGAUUUGUAACGAGACUCAGUUACAGUUGCAGUAAAGGUGAGAAUUGCAAUAAAACCCAAAGCCAAAGCUCA